Molecule: ribosomal RNA, 253 nt
Filed under: uncultured bacterium
Lineage: Bacteria
Description: partial 16S ribosomal RNA
Rfam family: Bacterial small subunit ribosomal RNA
Source: RNAcentral
UACAGAGGGGGCAAGCGUUGUUCGGAAUUACUGGGCGUAAAGGGCGCGUAGGCGGCCUGCUAAGUCGAACGUGAAAUCCCUGGGCUCAACCCAGGAACUGCGUCCGAUACUGUGCGACUAGAGUGCAGAAGGGGCAACUGGAAUUCUCGGUGUAGCGGUGAAAUGCGUAGAUAUCGAGAGGAACACCUGCGGCGAAGGCGGGUUGCUGGGCUGACACUGACGCUGAUGCGCGAAAGCCAGGGGAGCGAACGGG